AAACCACGGCUAUGAAACCAUGGUUUAACCAUAGUUUUACAACUGUACAAAAAACUAGGUAACGAAACCAUUUUUAAAAGUUCUACCAAGAUACAAAAACCAUGGUAAAGAAAUCAUGUGCAAACCAUGGUUUUGCCAUGGUUGUAAACCAUGGUAACGAAACUAUAGUUAAAACGAUGGUUUUACCGAGGUUGACAAACUACGGUUACGAAACCAUAGUUAAACCAUGGUUUUAGAAUUGUUCUGAUACCAUAGUUAUAAAAACAUGGUUAAACCAUGGUUUUACCACAAAUCAAACAACGGUCUGACCGUAGUUAACUACACUUUUGACAUGGUCUCAACACGAGUAUUAAAAAAAAUUAAAAAAAACUACUAUCAUGUAACCAAUGUAGUUAUGACCACUAUAUACAUAAUACAUGUAUGACCAGCACUACUCGAUUGUUUUGAUGACCUUGAACUGAUUCGAUAAUAUGGAAUUGUAACAAUUUGCCCCAAAAUAAAUACAAUUAUUAGUGUGUUUGCUGCCAUCUAGUGGUGGAAUGCACACUGUAUUUCCAAUUUUGAAUUUCUUCACUCCAGCCAUUACUUUGCCGUUUCGCCAAAUUUGUCUUCCUUUAAAACCCAGAAUAUAGGGGAUAAGGGUUAGAUUUACACCAGGAAAGAAGAAUUGUACGAGACUAAGAGUAUUCCAGAGCAAGAAUUGGACAACAUGAAGAACUCGAAGUAGAUCUAGAUUUCAAUUUACCAGACAGUCACACUGGUCUACAUACUACAGUACAGUCCCACACAGCCACUCAUGUGUGGGAAAAUAUCGGUCUGCAGAAAACGACCAACUUUGCUUUGCUGCUGGAGCUAUACUUUAAGGUCAACAUUUUCUCCAGGAGGGUAUCUUCGGCUGCGGGAAAGUCAUCAACAUGGACUGUUCCAGUGAACAUGCAGUCUUGAUUUGUAAGACUAAACUGUCCAACAAACUUCACGGAAAUUAUGCAAGACAUGGGUGAGAGUUUGAGAAUUCAUCUGUAUGGGAUCCCUAUAGAGGAGAGCUUUUCAAAAUUAUACCAGUUAUGCUGACCAGCAAACAUUCAGCAAGUACAUCCAGUACAAUCGACCCUGUCACCUUUGUUCGGUCGGAAGGAAUCUGAGAAAGUAAUCUUCAAUACACAGCUUUUUUUCGAGCAAAACUUUUAAAUUUGCCGCACAGAUGUGACGUAUACGCCUCUGUCUGUGUUGUGAGGACCCUACGUCACAAAAAAUGUCGCGCAAUGCAUUGUGAGAGGAACCGGCUCGAUCAUUCACUUGUUUUUUGCUCAUUAAAGCCUUACUGCACUCCUUUUAGCUACUUGCUC
This is a long non-coding RNA of Strongylocentrotus purpuratus (purple sea urchin), 1346 nucleotides long. RefSeq lists it as uncharacterized. The record is from RefSeq and is a predicted model, not a curated record. The transcript has 2 exons. Lineage: Eukaryota; Metazoa; Echinodermata; Echinoidea; Camarodonta; Strongylocentrotidae.